UAAAGAGUUCUAUAACUCCCAAACCCAUGUGAACAUACCUAACGUUGCCUCGGCAGGUCGCACCUACCUUGUAGCACCCUACCCUGUAGGGCCUACCCGGGAGAUGCGGGUAAGCCUGCCGGCGGCCCACCAAACUCUGUUUGAUAUUGAAUUCUGAACAUAUAACUAAAUAAGUUAAAACUUUCAACAACGGAUCUCUUGGUUCUGGCAUCGAUGAAGAACGCAGCGAAAUGCGAUAAGUAAUGUGAAUUGCAGAAUUCAGUGAAUCAUCGAAUCUUUGAACGCAUAUUGCGCCCAUUAGUAUUCUAGUGGGCAGGACCGUUCGAGCGUCAUUUCGACCCUUAAGCCUUAGUUGCUUAGUGUUGGGAGCCUACGGCAACGUAGCUCCUCAAAGUUAGUGGCGGAGUUGGUUCACACUCUAGACGUAGUAAUUUUUUAUCUCGCCUAUUAGUUGGACUGAUCCCCUGCCGUAAAACCCCCAACUUAUCAAGGUUGACCUCGAAUCGGUUCAGACAAACUCGCUAAAUUGAAGCAUCUUAGUCAGCGAAGGAAAAGAAACCAACAGGGAUUGCCCUAGUAACGGCGAGUGAAGCGGCAACAGCUCAAAUUUGAAAUCUGGCCCUC
Molecule: ribosomal RNA, 624 nt
Filed under: fungal endophyte
Lineage: Eukaryota; Fungi
Description: eukaryotic LSU rRNA
Rfam family: 5.8S ribosomal RNA (bases 179-332)
Source: RNAcentral